Small nuclear RNA from Telopea speciosissima, 117 nucleotides. The record is from RefSeq and is a predicted model, not a curated record. NCBI's taxonomy places the organism in Eukaryota, Viridiplantae, Streptophyta, Magnoliopsida, Proteales, Proteaceae.
GUGUUCAUUGAAAGGAGAGAAGGUCAGUAUCUCCCUUUUUACGUGGAUGGGAACCGUCUUAGGGUGGACCUACUAGACGGGGGCCACAUUUGAGCUUACUCGUUAACACAUCUGUUU